Molecule: long non-coding RNA, 274 nt
Organism: Physella acuta
Lineage: Eukaryota; Metazoa; Mollusca; Gastropoda; Physidae
Source: RefSeq, a predicted model, not a curated record
CCUAAACUUACAAGCUGUGUGUAAUAUUACUGAUGAUGAUUAUAAGUACCUAAUUUGUUAACACACUUUAUUUUAAUGAGCAGCAUCUCAUUGAUAGGCAGCUGUAAAGCAAAAAUGUAUAAUUUGAUAAAACAAAGACAUGAAUACAACAAAAGAAAAAGGCAGUGUUGGAGAACAUGGAGUCACAACCAGUGAACAGGAGGUGCAUUACAUUGACUGGAUCAUUCCGUAGCUCAUCACUAUGGACAAUGUGAAUCUGGUGGCCAAAAACAAA